Molecule: ribosomal RNA, 253 nt
Filed under: uncultured bacterium
Lineage: Bacteria
Description: partial 16S ribosomal RNA
Rfam family: Bacterial small subunit ribosomal RNA
Source: RNAcentral
UACAGAGGGUGCAAGCGUUGCUCGGAAUUAUUGGGCGUAAAGCGCGUGUAGGCGGCUUUGCAAGUCGGGUGUGAAAGCCCUCAGCUCAACUGAGGAAGUGCGCCCGAAACUGCAGAGCUUGAGUGCCGGAGAGGGUGGCGGAAUUCCCCAAGUAGAGGUGAAAUUCGUAGAGAUGGGGAGGAACACCGGUGGCGAAGGCGGCCACCUGGACGGUAACUGACGCUGAGACGCGAAAGCGUGGGUAGCAAACAGG